Camelus dromedarius (Arabian camel) is the source of this 107-nucleotide small nuclear RNA. The record is from Ensembl. NCBI's taxonomy places the organism in Eukaryota, Metazoa, Chordata, Mammalia, Artiodactyla, Camelidae.
GUUCUCACUUUGGCAGCAUAUAUACUAAAAUUGGAACGAUACAGAAAAGAUUAGCAUGGCCCCUGCACAAGGAUGACAUGCAAAUUCGUGAAGCAUUCCAUAUUAAA